This 1315-nucleotide long non-coding RNA is filed under the name Equus asinus (donkey). RNAcentral describes it as "lncRNA (ENSEASG00005032496.1)". The record is from RNAcentral. Lineage: Eukaryota; Metazoa; Chordata; Mammalia; Perissodactyla; Equidae.
UGGCAUGCAUGCUAUGUUAAUAAAUAUUUUUGAAUAAAUGCACAACUGAUUAAUCAUAUUCUAAAAAAGAAAUGAACUUAUCGCAGCCACUUUGCAAGGCAGCUUUGGUCAGGAGAAGACAGACUAGCCACACUGAAAAGGGUAACACAAGAUGGGCAAAUUUCAAGUUAGCCGACACACUAUUGCCUCAAGUACACAGUGGCGGACCUUAUUGUAAAGAUGCUGGUUCUUCCCUUAUAAUCUUCAUUGGCAAUGGCGAGCUGUGUCCUGAAAUCGCUGUCCAGUGAAAGUGGCUCAUUUGGUUUUAGCACUGAAUAAUAUUCCACUGUUUGGAUGUGCCAUAGUUUAUUUAUCCAGUCACCCACUGAAGGACGUCUUGGUUGCUUCCAAGUUUUAGCAAUUAUAAAUAAAGCUGCUGUAAACAUCUGUAUGCAGGCUUUUCUGUGGACAUAAGAUUUUAACUCCUAUGUGUAAAUACUGAGGAGCACAACUGCUGGAUCAUAUGUCUUAAGAAGAAAAGGGCAGAAGAAAGGAGAGAAAUUAUAAUAUUUUGGACCAAGAUAGUCAUGGUGGAUGUUGUAGAUAUGGCCAGAUUCUAUACGUGCUUUGAAGUUCUAAACUGUAGGAUUUGUUAACAGAUUUCUGUGUAAUAAAAAAAGGAGAGUCAAGGAGGAUCCCAAGGUUUUCACCUGAGCAUCUGUAAGAAGGUUACAAAGCAUCUGUAAGAGUUAUAUUUACUGAGAUGAAGAAGAACUUGGAAGAACAGAUGGGAAAACAUUGCAGAAUCAGGAGUUUUUCUGGGAAUACGUUGACUUUGAAAUCUGUAUCAGACGUCUACAUGAAGUUGAAUGGACAACUGGAAAGGCAAUGCUGAAGUUCAGCUAGAUGUCUGGAUUUGGGAGUUAGUGGCAUGGAUAGUAUUUAAAGCCAUGUGAUGAGGUUGUCAAGAGAAUGAGGAUAAAGGAAGUGUCUGUGAGUGGACUCUGGAGCACACCAAUACUCAGAAGAUAGGGAGAUGAGAAGGAACUCAUAAAUGAGACUAAGAGGGAAUGGUCAAUGAAGCAGGAAGAGAGUAUUCUGUCAGGAUCAUGUAUUAAGAAGGAGAAAGUAAUGAAGUCAAUAGAUCAAUAAGAUGAGAACUGGUAGGUCAAAUAAGUUGAAAACUGAGAAUUGAUGUGGCAGUCAUUGGUGAUUUUCACAAAAUCUGUUUUGCACAAUUGCAAAACUGGUGGGAACAAAAGCCUGAUUAGGGAAGUUUCAAUAUAGACUAAGAGGAGGGGAGUUAUAAAUAGCAAAUGUAGACAAAUCUUAUGAC